AGGACGAACGCUGGCGGCGUGCUUAACACAUGCAAGUCGAGCGGAAAGGCCCUUCGGGGUACUCGAGCGGCGAACGGGUGAGUAACACGUGAGCAAUCUGCCCUUAGCUUCGGGAUAGCUCCGGGAAACCGGAAUUAAUACCGAAUACGACCACGGCCGACAUCAGCUGUGGUGGAAAGUUUUUCGGCUAGGGAUGAGCUCGCGGCCUAUCAGCUUGUUGGUGAGGUAACGGCUCACCAAGGCGACGACGGGUA
RNAcentral lists this ribosomal RNA (254 nucleotides) under uncultured bacterium. RNAcentral's name for it is "partial small subunit ribosomal RNA". It matches the Rfam family "Bacterial small subunit ribosomal RNA", at positions 26 to 285 of the family's 1533-position model. The record is from RNAcentral.